AUUGAACGCUGGCGGCAUGCCUUACACAUGCAAGUCGAACGGCAGCACGGGUGCUUGCACCUGGUGGCGAGUGGCGAACGGGUGAGUAAUACAUCGGCACAUGUCCUGUAGUGGGGGAUAGCCCGGCGAAAGCCGGAUUAAUACCGCAUACGAUCUACGGAUGAAAGCGGGGGGCCUUCGGGCUUCGCCCUAUAGGGUUGGCCGAUGGCUGAUUAGCUAGUUGGGGGGGUAAAGGCCUACCAAGGCGGCGAUCAGUAGCUGGUCUGAGAGGACGACCAGCCACACUGGGACUGAGACACGGCCCAGACUCCUACGGGAGGCAGCAGUGGGGAAUUUUGGACAAUGGGCGAAAGCCUGAUCCAGCAAUGCCGCGUGUGUGGAGAAGGCCUUCGGGUUGUAAAGCACUUUUGUCCGGAAAGAAAUCCUUGGCCCUAAUACGGUCGGGGGAUGACGGUACCGGAAGAAUAAGCACCGGCUAACUACGUG
Molecule: ribosomal RNA, 486 nt
Filed under: uncultured bacterium
Lineage: Bacteria
Description: partial 16S ribosomal RNA
Rfam family: Bacterial small subunit ribosomal RNA
Source: RNAcentral